Molecule: non-coding RNA, 72 nt
Organism: Paramuricea clavata
Lineage: Eukaryota; Metazoa; Cnidaria; Anthozoa; Malacalcyonacea; Plexauridae
Source: the annotation of a GenBank genome assembly
GCCUCUGUCGCUCAGUUGGUUAGAGCGCUGCACCGGAAUCCAGGACCGCAGGUUCGAGUCCUGCCAGGGACC